This 107-nucleotide small nuclear RNA is filed under the name Dasypus novemcinctus (nine-banded armadillo). Lineage: Eukaryota; Metazoa; Chordata; Mammalia; Cingulata; Dasypodidae. The record is from RNAcentral.
GUGCUCACUUCAGCAGCACAUAUACUAACAAUGGAACAAUACAGAGAAGAUUAGCAUGGCCCCUGUGCAAGGAUGACAUACAAAUUUGUGACACAUUCCAUAUUUUU